This is a long non-coding RNA of Salarias fasciatus (jewelled blenny), 206 nucleotides long. RefSeq lists it as uncharacterized. The transcript is spliced from 3 exons. Lineage: Eukaryota; Metazoa; Chordata; Actinopteri; Blenniiformes; Blenniidae. The record is from RefSeq and is a predicted model, not a curated record.
GAUCUCCCCGAAGGCCUUCGCCGGCCUCAGACAGCUCUCUUCCUCAACCUGGACAACAACAGCCUGAAGACUCUUCCCGCCGGCGUCUUCAGGCCGCUGCGCUCUUUGGAGAUGUUGGUUCUGGACAACAACUUCCUGUCCACGCUGACGGCGUCGGCUCUGGAGGGUCUGAUCAACCUGCAGGAGCUCUACGUGAGGAACAACCA